This 162-nucleotide ribosomal RNA is filed under the name Platycelyphium voense. Its description in RNAcentral is "5.8S ribosomal RNA". It matches the Rfam family "5.8S ribosomal RNA". Rfam says of the family: 5.8S ribosomal RNA (5.8S rRNA) is a component of the large subunit of the eukaryotic ribosome. Lineage: Eukaryota; Viridiplantae; Streptophyta; Magnoliopsida; Fabales; Fabaceae. The record is from RNAcentral.
AAAAGACUCUCGGCAACGGAUAUCUCGGCUCUUGCAUCGAUGAAGAACGUAGCGAAAUGCGAUACUUGGUGUGAAUUGCAGAAUCCCGUGAACCAUCGAGUCUUUGAACGCAAGUUGCGCCCGAAGCCAUUAGGCCGAGGGCACGCCUGCCUGGGCGUCGCG